AUGGCCCGUUACUGGUGGAGUAGUUCCCUUGAUCGUCGGUCUUUACAUUGGACGGAUUGGGACACGCUUACUUCUCCGAAAGUGAAAGGAGGGAUGGGUUUCAGAGAUCUUCAACUAUUUAAUCUUGCCCUCCUGGGAAAACAUGGCUAGAGACUCGUCACGAGCCCAGAGUCGCUCUGUGCACGGGUGCUCAAAGGGAAGUAUUUCCCGACGACAAAUUUCCUCAAAGCUACUUCGCCAUCCCACGCGUCUUCCACCUGGCGUGCAAUCUUGGCGGGGAGGGAAGCUUUGGAGGUUGGGAUGAUUAAGCGGAUUGGGGAUGGGACGACGGUGUCAAUAUGGAAUGAUCCUUGGAUCCCAGGUCUUAUUUCCAUGAAGCCAUCGGUGCAGAUUGGGGCCGCCGAUCUUGUCAGGGUCUCAGAUCUGAUCGAUGCUGAUUCGGGGUCAUGGAAACCUAAUGAGGUACAUGCAAAUUUCAUUCCGUCUGAAGUAGAAGCUAUUCUCAAUAUACCUUUGAGGCGGUUUGGAGGAGAUGAUAUAUGGGCAUGGUCGGCAGAAAAAGCAGGAGUCUAUACUGUCAAGUCAGCGUACCGCACUCUUAUGAUUUGCAACGAGCAUCGUGCUCUAGAAGAAGGGUCGGUCACCGAAAUCUUCCGAGACAAAUAA
This 666-nucleotide ribosomal RNA is filed under the name Triticum aestivum (bread wheat). RNAcentral's name for it is "partial small subunit ribosomal RNA". The record is from RNAcentral. Lineage: Eukaryota; Viridiplantae; Streptophyta; Magnoliopsida; Poales; Poaceae.